AAGUCGUAACAAGGUUUCCGUAGGUGAACCUGCGGAAGGAUCAUUAACACUUUGUUAUCCACAAUAUCAACCAAAUGUGAACUGUAUCGUCCCUAUUCACGGUAAGAGCGGAGCUGGCUUCGGUCAACUUUAGUCGAGUCGUGCGAUAGACAAUACCAUCUCCUAGUAGUCAUCAGACGACUAGCGCUUCGGCGUUAGUUGUCUUGGUGAUGAACGUAUUCACCAAUUUUCACCCUAUACAUUUAACCUGACUAAUCUUCAUAAACUUAUCGACUGCCUCACGGCGGUUAGUAAGCUUUACGAAAUAUCGAACAACUCUUAGCAAUGGAUAUCUUGGGUCAU
This 342-nucleotide unclassified non-coding RNA is filed under the name fungal sp. RNAcentral's name for it is "partial internal transcribed spacer region". The stretch from base 1 to 46 matches the Rfam family "Eukaryotic small subunit ribosomal RNA", at positions 1786 to 1831 of the family's 1831-position model. Lineage: Eukaryota; Fungi. The record is from RNAcentral.